GGAUGAGAGAAGGCGCGGGAAAUGCUUUGUGGAGAGUCAUGUUUGUUGAUAGGGGCGAUCGGUGAGUGCGUCCUGUUUGCCGGGCAUCCUCGUUUUUCUGCCGCGCGGGGGGUGCACCGCUUCUAAACCCAGGGAACCGUGGACUAAAACGCCCGAACGUCAUGUCGCCGUUGCUGCUGCUGCCCGUUGGAUGUUCCUGAUGGCGACGCCGCGGUAUUGAUUUGGCGGUGAACCUUGGCGACCAUGUAUCCCAACCGACACCCGGGAGACGGGAUGCCCCCUUUCAACGCUUACGGAGCACCUCCACUGGUCACCAUGAUGUCCAAAGAGGGUCCUCCGCCAGCCGCCGGUCAGCCUUUCAAGUUUACAGUCGCAGAAACAUGUGACAGAAUUAAAGAGGAGUUCUCUUUCCUGCAGGCUCAGUAUCAUAG
This is a long non-coding RNA of Stegodyphus dumicola, 431 nucleotides long. Lineage: Eukaryota; Metazoa; Arthropoda; Arachnida; Araneae; Eresidae. The record is from RefSeq and is a predicted model, not a curated record.